Molecule: RNA transcript, 1851 nt
Organism: Aegilops tauschii subsp. strangulata
Lineage: Eukaryota; Viridiplantae; Streptophyta; Magnoliopsida; Poales; Poaceae
Source: RefSeq, a predicted model, not a curated record
CGCUGACGCUCCCUGGCAGGCCGCCCCUCCCAUUCGAAUCAGGUCGCGGAAGUGGCCGAUGUGUCCCUCGAGCUCGGCAUGCUCGCGCCAGCGCUUGACUCCGUUGGAUGCGGACGCGGAGGCGCGGGACUCGCAGGCCCUACUCUACCCCGCUCCUUCGAAUCUGCCCCAGAAGUGCUCGAGCUCGGCAUGCUCGCCGAAGACGCCGGGCCCCUCCAUCCUCCUGAUGCCCUCGCCGUCGCCGCCAUGAACAUCUCCACCAUCUCCGGCGCAAUCGUCCGGGUCCAGAUUUCCCAAAGGAGAAGGAGGAGGUGCCGAAAGAGGAUGGGAGCAACAAGUCUGAAUCAAAGAUAUAAUCAAUUUUCUUCACCCCACGGGAGAAGUUAGAAGAUGUAUUCUUGGGAGUUCCCAGCGACUUUGAUGUAUGUUGGAACAGAAGCACACAUUUAAGGUCAAGAUCCCCACAAGAUCAAAAUGGUAGAAGGUCUGGCGUGCUGGCGCUGCUUUUGAGCGUGGCGCAGAUGGGCUGGAUCCUCAGCCACAUCACCCUCAUCGUCUGCGCCUACAUCACCUAUUAUACCCCGUCCUCCUCUCCUACUGCUACCGCUGGCCGGAACCCGUCCACGGCAAACGGAACUACACUUGUACAUGGACGCCGUCCGCUCCUGUCUUGGACCUAGAGAUGUAGCUAUGUGUGGCAUUGCACAGUACAAGAUUCUCUAUGCAUCACAGUUGCCACGGGCAUCAUGUCCGUGGUGCCCAGCAACUGCCGCCAUUAAAAGGGCCACGACGCAAACUGCAGCCAGGAUGGGACGAUGUGCCUGGUGCUGUGCAGCCUCGCCAAGGUCAUCCUCUCGCAGUUGCUGGGCCUGGAGAUCUGUUACCUUCGUCUCCAUAGUCGCCGCCGUCAUGUCCUUCACCUACUCCUUCAUCGCCCUCUUCCGGGGUGCCAGACCUGCGCGUAAGGAGAGGCCAGUGGAGGCGUGCGUUGGUCGGCGGCCAAACGAAGGAGCGGCAGGCGGUGACCUGUGCGUAAGGAGAGGCCGGCCAGCAGAGGCGGGUGCGGAGGCCAACGCGGAUCCGCCACCGCCGCCUCUCGCCUUGCCUCUUUUCGUCGUCGGCUCGUCGCCAUCGGUGCGCAGAGGCAGGUGGCAUGGGUCGCGGGGUAGUUGUUUUGAGCGAGCACGAGCAACGCAGCUCACAAAUUAAGGGGAUCUGAUUGCGAUCAGUUUCCUAUUCUCAUGCCUGAUUGCGGACGUGGGACGGGCGGGCGGCAGAGUUUUCGUCCGCCAGCGGAAAUUGCUAAGCGCACAGUUGGCUAACGAUAGGGAAAUUUUGGGUGUACAUCUGUACACCCAUGACCCACAGUGGAUCCGCCCCUGCUGUGAAGCUCCUCCUUAUACUUUCGCCUGCAUGAGUAGGCUUGGGGAUAUCCCAGUGAAGAUGACGUCAUUCCUGGUGUUCCAAACAGCCCACAGAACUAGAGUGAUAAUCUCCAAGAAAAAAAGGUACUUGGAGUCGCUUCGUACGUGGUCUAUGCUACACCGAACAGAGUACUAGCCAUUGUUAAAGGCGGUGUGUAUGCGGUUAGAGCAGGUGACUAGUGAGAUUUUUUGCCCAACAUGGAUGACAAAAUAAUUUCCAGACCGGUCCACCACCUCCUUCAACAUAGGCAUAGUGUCAGUCCUUGGACUUUACUGUUGCCGAUAUGUUGCUUUUUUAUCAUCUUUUGUCACAGUUGAUGUUUGACUAUGUGCAUCUUAGUUAUGCAGAAGUGAGUGUUGCUCAUCGUGCUUUGUAUCCACGUGAUGCUACAUUUUAAGUUGAUAUAAAAUCGUCUUUUAUCAAAAA